AUCACCAGGGCAGGCCUUCCUUGCCAGGACCUCGAGUUUGUUCAGUUCCACCCCACAGGCAUAUAUGGUGCUGGUUGUCUCAUUACGGAAGGAUGUCGUGGAGAGGGAGGCAUUCUCAUUAACAGUCAAGGCGAAAGGUUUAUGGAGCGAUACGCCCCUGUCGCGAAGGACCUGGCGUCUAGAGAUGUGGUGUCUCGGUCGAUGACUCUGGAGAUCCGAGAAGGAAGGUGCGUGUGAUUUACCACCAGCACUGUCUGAGCGGGCACACGGGCCGGGAUUGCUUCUGUGAGUUUUAGCACCGCUCGCCCUCACCUUCGUGUGCAGGUGCAUGUGCACAGCCACCUCUCUCAGCUGCCGGCAGGCGUCUGUUAGUCUGUGAUAUUUUUCUAAAGACCUACAUUUUGAAAAUUUUAGCCAGUUUCUUUCUCAAAUCUGUGAAACAGAGUUUCUCUUAGUGUGUGUGAGUAUGUGAUGGAGUAUGGGAGAGAGAGACACACACCCAACCUGAAGUCAGCAUGUGAGCCUUGGGUGUUGUGUCUGAUACCCACAGAUGUUUUUUGGCAGCUUUCAAAGUGUGUGGGUUAUUUGGCUUUCAGUAAAACAAUUUGCAGCUCUUUCAUUGCCUGACCGUAUUCUUUAAUGUAAUGACACUUGCUAAAUAUCUGCUGGUAUGGCCUUUAGAGGUUUUACAUUUUUAAAUUUAAAAAAACAGAGAAGUCAGGCGUGAGCCACCACGCCGGGCCUACUUCCCUCUCUCUCUGACCUGCAGCACAGACACCCUGUUGGGGAAGGUGGGCUGGUGGAGGCAUGGGCACCUUGACAUUUCACCUGAAAUCUUCCUUUCCACAGGUCCUGAGGCACGUGAAUGGCCAGGAUCAGAUUGUGCCUGGCCUGUACGCCUGUGGGGAGGCCGCCUGUGCCUCGGUACAUGGUGCCAACCGCCUUGGGGCAAACUCGCUCUUGGACCUGGUUGUCUUUGGUCGGGCAUGUGCCCUGAGCAUCGAAGAGUCAUGCAGGCCUGGAGAUAAAGUCCCUCCAAUUAAACCAAACGCUGGGGAAGAAUCUGUCAUGAAUCUUGACAAAUUGAGAUUUGCUGAUGGAAGCAUAAGAACAUCGGAACUGCGACUCAACAUGCAGAAGUCAAUGCAAAAUCAUGCUGCCGUGUUCCGUGUGGGAAGCGUGUUGCAAGAAGGUUGUGGGAAAAUCAGCAAGCUCUAUGGAGACCUAAAGCACCUGAAGACGUUCGACCGGGGAAUGGUCUGGAACACGGACCUGGUGGAGACCCUGGAGCUGCAGAACCUGAUGCUGUGUGCGCUGCAGACCAUCUACGGAGCAGAGGCGCGGAAGGAGUCACGGGGCGUGCAUGCCAGGGAAGACUACAAGGUGCGGAUUGAUGAGUACGAUUACUCCAAGCCCAUCCAGGGGCAACAGAAGAAGCCCUUUGAGGAGCACUGGAGAAAGCACACCCUGUCGUAUGUGGACGUUGGCACUGGGAAGGUCACUCUGGAAUAUAGACCCGUAAUCGACAAAACUUUGAACGAGGCUGACUGUGCCACCGUCCCGCCAGCCAUUCGCUCCUACUGAUGAGACAAGAUGUGGUGAUGACAGAAUCAGCUUUUGUAAUUAUGUAUAAUAGCUCAUGCAUGUGUCCAUGUCAUAACUGUCUUCAUACGCGUCUGCACUCUGGGGAAGAAGGAGUACAUUGAAGGGAGAUUGGCACCCAGGCUGGGAGCUUGCCAGGAACCCAGUGGCCAGGGAGCGUGGCAGUUACCUUUGUCCCUUGCUUCAUUCUUGUGAGAUGAUAAAACUG
RNAcentral lists this small RNA (1810 nucleotides) under Pan troglodytes (chimpanzee). Its description in RNAcentral is "retained intron". The record is from RNAcentral. Lineage: Eukaryota; Metazoa; Chordata; Mammalia; Primates; Hominidae.